AGAGAUGUAGCUCAGUGGUAGAGCACUUGCCUAGCAAAUUUGAGGUCCUGCGUUCCGUCUCUA
Molecule: transfer RNA, 63 nt
Filed under: Cavia porcellus (domestic guinea pig)
Lineage: Eukaryota; Metazoa; Chordata; Mammalia; Rodentia; Caviidae
Rfam family: tRNA
About the family: Transfer RNA (tRNA) molecules are approximately 80 nucleotides in length. Their secondary structure includes four short double-helical elements and three loops (D, anti-codon, and T loops).
Source: Rfam by way of RNAcentral